GCCGCAGUAGCUCAGUUGGUAGAGCACAUCAUUCGUAAUGAUGGGGUCGGGGGUUCGAAUCCCUCCUGCGGCACCA
Molecule: transfer RNA, 76 nt
Filed under: Varunaivibrio sulfuroxidans
Lineage: Bacteria; Pseudomonadati; Pseudomonadota; Alphaproteobacteria; Rhodospirillales; Magnetovibrionaceae
Description: tRNA-Thr
Rfam family: tRNA
About the family: Transfer RNA (tRNA) molecules are approximately 80 nucleotides in length.
Source: RNAcentral